RNAcentral lists this long non-coding RNA (655 nucleotides) under Ficedula albicollis (Collared flycatcher). Its description in RNAcentral is "lncRNA (ENSFALG00000023024.1)". The record is from RNAcentral. Lineage: Eukaryota; Metazoa; Chordata; Aves; Passeriformes; Muscicapidae.
UCACUAUUAUGGUUUGUUCUGCAUCAACAGUAAUCCUUUACUGCCUUUUUAUUCCAGAUACAAUAAACUUUUUUUUGUGAGAGAUUAGUACCUCAACUUUGCUUCUGCAUUUCAUCAGCCAGAGCAGCUGUUCAUUAUUUUGUGUAUUUCAAAGCAGGAGAGAUAAUAACUAAAACAGACAUCAAAACUUGUGGUGGGGAGAAGAAUGCAUCCUUCCAUUCAGUGCAUCCUCUAGGUUCAGUGUACCUUGGAAAGCCCAGUCCAUCCAAGCACACAAUUCACUUCUCACCAUGGUAAGGUGUUUGUUUAUUUAAGUGCAGUUUAAAUUUCUGCCUCCUUCUGGAGUCACCAGGUUAGCUUUAUCUGAAAAAAUUGUGAGCUUGCAAUGAAUUAUUAGUAGCUAUCCUGUAGUUAAUACAAUUUUGUCAAAGCAGGAACUGAUAGAAAUGCUUCUCUUCCAAUAUAAUUCUUUCCUCUUUUUUAAUAUUUUUUUUUAAAUCAUUAAUUCAGAAUUUCAUAUCUGAAUAAUCCCUGGUGCAUAGGAUGCUAAUUCAAAAAUACCACAAAUUGAACUUUUUUUGUCCAUUUAUUGGUUGGCUUGUUGCAUAACAAGAAAACUGAUAAGUUUAAUUACUUUUAUGAAAAUGAAAGGGAA